This 1470-nucleotide ribosomal RNA is filed under the name metagenome. RNAcentral describes it as "bacterial SSU rRNA". It matches the Rfam family "Bacterial small subunit ribosomal RNA". The record is from RNAcentral.
AGAGUUUGGUCAUGGCUCAGGACGAACGCUGGCGGCACGCUUAACACAUGCAAGUCGAACGAGAGAAGAGGAGCUUGCUUUUCUGAUCUAGUGGCGGACGGGUGAGUAACACGUGAGCAAUCUGCCUUUCAGAGGGGGAUACCGAUUGGAAACGAUCGUUAAUACCGCAUAACAUAAUUGAACCGCAUGAUUUGAUUAUCAAAGAUUUAUCGCUGAAAGAUGAGCUCGCGUCUGAUUAGCUAGUUGGUAAGGUAACGGCUUACCAAGGCGACGAUCAGUAGCCGGACUGAGAGGUUGAUCGGCCACAUUGGGACUGAGACACGGCCCAGACUCCUACGGGAGGCAGCAGUGGGGAAUAUUGCACAAUGGAGGAAACUCUGAUGCAGCGAUGCCGCGUGAGGGAAGAAGGUUUUAGGAUUGUAAACCUCUGUCUUCAGGGACGAAAAAAGACGGUACCUGAGGAGGAAGCUCCGGCUAACUACGUGCCAGCAGCCGCGGUAAUACGUAGGGAGCGAGCGUUGUCCGGAAUUACUGGGUGUAAAGGGAGCGUAGGCGGGAUCGCAAGUCAGAUGUGAAAACUAUGGGCUUAACCCAUAAACUGCAUUUGAAACUGUGGUUCUUGAGUGAAGUAGAGGUAAGCGGAAUUCCUAGUGUAGCGGUGAAAUGCGUAGAUAUUAGGAGGAACAUCAGUGGCGAAGGCGGCUUACUGGGCUUUAACUGACGCUGAGGCUCGAAAGCGUGGGGAGCAAACAGGAUUAGAUACCCUGGUAGUCCACGCCGUAAACGAUGAUUACUAGGUGUGGGGGGACUGACCCCUUCCGUGCCGCAGCAAACGCAACAAGUAAUCCACCUGGGGAGUACGACCGCAAGGUUGAAACUCAAAGGAAUUGACGGGGGCCCGCACAAGCAGUGGAGUAUGUGGAUUAAUUCGAAGCAACGCGAAGAACCUUACCAGGUCUUGACAUCGUAUGCAUAGCUCAGAGAUGAGUGAAAUCUCUUCGGAGACAUAUAGACAGGUGGUGCAUGGUUGUCGUCAGCUCGUGUCGUGAGAUGUUGGGUUAAGUCCCGCAACGAGCGCAACCCUUACUGUUAGCUGCUACGCAAGAGCACUCUAGCAGGACUGCCGUUGACAAAACGGAGGAAGGUGGGGAUGACGUCAAAUCAUCAUGCCCCUUAUGACCUGGGCCUCACACGUACUACAAUGGCUGUCAACAGAGGGAAGCAAAGCCGCGAGGUGGAGCGAACCCCUAAAAGCAGUCUUAGUUCGGAUUGUAGGCUGCAACCCGCCUACAUGAAGUCGGAAUUGCUAGUAAUCGCAGAUCAGCAUGCUGCGGUGAAUACGUUCCCGGGCCUUGUACACACCGCCCGUCACGCCAUGGGAGUCGGUAACACCCGAAGCCUGUAGUCUAACCGCAAGGAGGACGCAGUCGAAGGUGGGAUUGAUGACUGGGGUGAAGUCGUAACAAGGUA